Non-coding RNA from Picea glauca (white spruce), 901 nucleotides. NCBI's taxonomy places the organism in Eukaryota, Viridiplantae, Streptophyta, Pinopsida, Pinales, Pinaceae. The record is from Rfam.
UGACCCCAGCUCAGGCGAGAACACCCGCUGAGUUUAAGCAUAUAAUUAAGCGGAGGAAAAGAAACUUACAAGGAUUCCCCUAGUAACGACGAGCGAACCGGGAAGAGCCCAGCAUGAAAAUCAGGUGGCAGUGUCACCUGAAUUGUAGUCUGUAGAAGUGUCCUUAGUGGCAGACCUGACCCAAGUUCCCUAGAAGGGGGUGCCUGAGAGGGUGACAACCCCGUCAUGCUGGGACCCUACCACACCACGAGGCAUUGUUGACGAGUCGUGUUGUUUGGGAAUGCAACCCUAAUCAGGUGGUAAAUUCCAUCCAAGGCUAAAUAUGGGAGAGAGACCAAUAGCAAACAAGUACCGUGAGGUAAAAAUGAAAAGGACUUUGAAAAGAGAGUUAAAGAGUGCUUGAAAUUGCUAGGAGGGAAGCGGAUGGAGGCUGACGAUGCAUCUCGAUUGGAUGCGGAACGGCUCAAGCUAGUCCACCGCUCGACUCGAGUUGCGAACCAACACAGGCCAUUGCAUCGGCACAAGCACGGGUGGAGUACUGCCUAUUGGUUUGCCAUUGUGGUGGUCGAGGAAUGAAGUGUGUGCCCUUGGGGUGGGCCACUGUGCACCUACACGCUCGUGGUGUUGGUUGGCGGGCUUUUCAUUCGACCUGUCUUGAAACACGAACCAUGUAGUCUAACAUGUGUGCGAGUCGGUGGGUUUGUAAACCUGCGAGGCAUAAGGAAGCUGAUGGGCGAGAACCCCUCUCCAUGGGGUGCAUUGUUGAACGACCUUCAACUUGUGCGAAGGGUUUGAGUGUGAGCACACCUGUUGGGACCCAAAAUAUGGUGAACUAUUCCUGAGCAGGGCGAAGCCAGAGGAAACUCUGGUGGAGGCCCGUAGCGAUACUAACGUGCAAAUC